Molecule: ribosomal RNA, 253 nt
Filed under: Deltaproteobacteria bacterium
Lineage: Bacteria; Pseudomonadati; Myxococcota; Myxococcia
Also listed under: 1 other name
Description: partial 16S ribosomal RNA
Rfam family: Bacterial small subunit ribosomal RNA
Source: RNAcentral
UACAGAGGUCCCAAGCGUUGUUCGGAUUUACUGGGCGUAAAGGGUGCGUAGGCGGUCGGGUAAGUCUGACGUGAAAUCUUCAAGCUCAACUUGGAAACUGCGUCGGAUACUAUUCGGCUAGAGGAAUGGAGGGGAGACUGGAAUACUUGGUGUAGCAGUGAAAUGCGUAGAUAUCAAGUGGAACACCAGUGGCGAAGGCGAGUCUCUGGACAUUUCCUGACGCUGAGGCACGAAAGCCAGGGGAGCAAACGGG